This 1100-nucleotide long non-coding RNA is filed under the name Apteryx rowi (Okarito brown kiwi). Its description in RNAcentral is "lncRNA (ENSARWG00000003704.1)". The record is from RNAcentral. Lineage: Eukaryota; Metazoa; Chordata; Aves; Apterygiformes; Apterygidae.
UAAAUUGCCAAGGUUUAUUCUAAAUUAGUCCACAAGAACAAAACUUAAUUUUUAACCCCAUGCAGUAUAGUCAGUGAUGUAAUAAUUCUAUCCUGCAAUGAGGAGUUCCUGAAAUAAACUAGUUACAUUUACAUUUGCAGUGACAUCAGUGUUUAAAGGUAAUCAGGAAAGCAAUCAACACUGGAGAAGUUGGAAGUUGUCAUGUGCAGAGUGCUGAAGAUGAGGUUUGAUAGAUUCUCAGCUCCACAAUCUGGAAAAUGGAUAUCUUAAGUCCAUGUUGAAGUACAGACAGUCAAUCAGGUCUCCUGCUGAGAAUGUAAGAGUAAGAGACUCUCUUCAGAAGUGACCAAUGGAGGAUAUUUAGGAAAAGAGAAUAAAAAAUUGCUGAAAAGCAGCUUUUGUCCUGUUAUAGCAGUCUGGCUGUUGAUAAUGACUGAUGUAAAAACUUUGUCUCAGAAAGGCUGUAUCUGGGCAUUCUGUUCAGUAGCCACCAAAGAACCUGUUCCUCAAAUGUGCCUUAAGUACUUCCUUGAACCAUUUGGUUUUGACUUUUGCAACUUCACCAGGCUGUGUUCAGAUCAGUAUUCUGUGGCUGAUCUGUGCCCAAAUUCUUUGUGCAUUUUUAAUGAGUUACUGCAAAAAUCUGUGAUCAAAGAGUUGUGUGGGAAAUGCAGACUUCAGUAAGGAACAGAAAAAAUUUUCUUCAUUUGCUUUGGGAAGAAACCCAGAAUGUUGCCGUGUUUCCCAUGGAAAAAUGAAACUAUGUAUCCAGCAGCUCCAGGGUCAGAGCACUGGCCUAGAAACUGGAAGGCUAAGGAUCAAGUUAUUGAUCAGAAGAGCAGAAAGGGACUUGACUGGGGAAACUGGAGAGCUCACUUGGAACUCAAACUACUGGAAGAUUGAGAUACAUGACUUCCUAUAUUCACCACAAAUUGCAUCUUAGAUCUUAAACAUCAUUCCUCUUCAAACUGGCAUAAUUUUCUAGUGAGAAGUUGUCACAAAUUGACUUUUUUCAAUAGGAACAUAUUGGUUGGACACUUCUUUACUAGACUGUUACAGAUAAAAAUAAAGACUGGCUCAAUCUUGGAUAAUUCUACUGC